GACGAACGCUGGCGGCGUGCUUAACACAUGCAAGUCGAACGGUAAGGCCCUUCGGGGUACACGAGUGGCGAACGGGUGAGUAACACGUGGGUGAUCUGCCCUGCACUUCGGGAUAAGCCUGGGAAACUGGGUCUAAUACCGGAUAGGACUCCGGACUGCAUGGUCUGGGGUGGAAAGCUUUUGCGGUGUGGGAUGGGCCCGCGGCCUAUCAGCUUUUUGGGGGGGUGAUGGCCUACCAAGGGGACGACGGGUAGCCGGCCUGAGGGGGUGACCGGCCACACUGGGACGGGGAUACGGCCCAGACUCCUACGGGAGGCAGCAGUGGGGAAUAUUGCACAAUGGGCGCAAGCCUGAUGCAGCGACGCCGCGUGAUUAAUGAAGUCCCUCUGGGACGUAAAGAUCUUUUAUGAGGGAGAAAGUUUAUUGAUAGUACCUCAUGAAUAAGGGGUUGCUAAACUCGUGCCAGCAGCCGCCGCCG
RNAcentral lists this ribosomal RNA (478 nucleotides) under uncultured bacterium. RNAcentral describes it as "partial 16S ribosomal RNA". It matches the Rfam family "Bacterial small subunit ribosomal RNA", at positions 28 to 523 of the family's 1533-position model. The record is from RNAcentral.